AGCAGGGAUUUAGGGGAGAUGGGUCCUAGUACUCAAUUGGAUUGUUACUUAGAUGAUUUAAGCGAUGAUUUGAGGUACUGGGGUCAAGUUUUGAGCAAUGGAAAGUUACUCCGAGGAUUUAAGCAGUGAUUUAGAGGGAGAUGGGUUCCAGGACUCAAUUGGAUAGUUACUCCGAUGAUUUAAGCGGUGAUUUGAGGUACUAGGGUCAAGUUUUGAGCAAAGGAAAGUUACUCCGAGCACUUAAGCAGGGAUUUAGGGGAGAUGGGUUCCAGAACUCAAUUGGAUAGUUACUCCGAUGAUUUAAGCGGUGAUCGGAGGUACUGGGGUCAAGUUUUGAGCAAAACAAUGUUACUCCGAGGACUUAAGCAGGGAUUUAGAGGAGAUGGGUUCCAGUACUCAAAUGGAGUGUUACUUAGAUGAUUUAAGCGGGGAGUUGAGGUACUGGGGUCA
Parasteatoda tepidariorum (common house spider) is the source of this 450-nucleotide non-coding RNA. The record is from RefSeq and is a predicted model, not a curated record. NCBI's taxonomy places the organism in Eukaryota, Metazoa, Arthropoda, Arachnida, Araneae, Theridiidae.